GCCUCACCGUGGGGCGGCCAUCGUCCCUCCGCCCCUCUCAACGCGACCGCCGGUCCGGGGGGGCGGGCCGAGCCGCGGGCGGAAGUGCUCGCCGCCGACCGGAAGUGACGCACCGGAAGUGACGCGCCGGGCGCCGCCCGCGACACCUGCGGCCCAGCUCGUUCGAGUCGUGGGCCCUAUUGCUUCCCUGCGGCCGCGCCGGAGCUGCGCCUGCUGCUGACCACGGUGCACCCGGGCCGUCCCCGCGCGGCCCAGGUCGGGGAGGGGGUGUGCCGGGCGACAGCAACCCCCGCCCACUGCCCCGGCCGUCCCGGGUAGGGGGUGUGUUCCGGCGGGUCCCGCUCGUGUGAGGCGGCUCCGGCCUCUCAUCCCCGCCGGGCCGCCGCGCGGUCUUGAUCUCAAGGGACAGUAGAGGGGAGACGGAGGGAGCGCCCUGUCGGGGGGCUGGAACCUGGCAGCGCCCCGCACACCCGGGUCCCGAGGCCGCGCGGAGACGCAGAGCCGCGCCUGCAGCCCCGCACCUGCGCGGUCUGUCCUCCCGCCGCGCCCCUGCCCGCGGCCAAUGACCGCUCCUUCAAGACCGGGGUCGUUCAGUUCUCACUUGCUUUUCUCCGCAGCGAUUUCCAAUGAGCACAUUUUUCCUUCAGACCAGUUAGCGUAAGGUGCCCGCAGGCCGCGCUUCUCCGGGAUGGCCCACAGGGCCGCCAAAGGGAGCCCCCAGGGCUGGUCCCCAGGUGAAAAACAGGAAGAAAGCAGCAAAAGUGGGAGUGUACGGUGCCGUUUUCGUCCUUCAAGUAUUUAGGACGACUUCAUCCGAACGAAGUUCGCAGGGUAGAUUUUUCCUUCUUGCGCAAAACCCUGAGACGCUUGAUGACUUCCCAGUGGUCCUGGGUUUUGGUGGUCUGUGAGUCGUUUAUAGUCAAAUAAUUUCAAGAUUAAAUUUAUAAAAACUCAACAUUUUUAUAGCAAAAUCUUUCUUACGUGUCAUCCGGGGAAACAGUUUUGAAGUGCUAUCGUGUGAGCCUGGGGACUUUCCCUCCUGCCCUCGGAGCUUCCAGUUGGCCUCCAAGCCGCUGCCUCCAGCCACUGCCUGCAGAGCGCUUUGCUCCGCAGACACAUUCCAGAGCCGGCGUCCUGUCCCCUCUCUGCCUGCCAACGGUUCUUGUCUCUAAAUACUCAAAGGAAACACUGUUGCCCGCUAAGGUGGCCUCAGAGAUUUCACCCUGGGGUCAUGUCUGAGUUGUUCGUGAUGGGUGCCACACGGGUGUUUUUAUCUGAACUUGCUGGAGUUCCAACUUCUUCCUGUGACUGGAUUCCAGGAAGCAGAAUUUUGGGCGAAAGCAUAUAGACUGGCCAGGAUUCGCCAUACUCUACUGGGUUUCAAGUGGGGUCGUUUAAAUAAUGCCUCCGCUCAUCUGCACACCCAAGGCUGCAGCGUAGAUGCCAGUGUAGACACGAAUCGGUUAGGGUGCAGUCCCUGUUGAAGGAGGAGACCUGACCAACAAAGACUCUGAGGCUGAGACUCCCCCGAAACCUGCCUGGGAAGCUCUAGCUGGGGUGUCAGGCCCUCUGCCCAAGCCCUGCCUCCCUCCAAGACACAGGGGACUUCUGACCUCUGGACCCCCUUCUGACAACGAUCUCUUCCUUUAGGGUUUGGAUGACGUUUAAAGGGUGAUCUUCUGGAAAGCAGGAAGGAAAGUGUCCGUGGCAAGUUCACGGGUCCCUCCCAGAUGGCUGAGCUGCUGUGUGUGCAGCUCCUGGCUUCCUGGCCCUCACCCCUCUCAUCAGGCUUCAUCUGUGUGUGGGUCCUAGUCUGAUGGCCCCACCCAGGUGGGAUGAUGGGGUCUACAGGCCCAGAGGAGCCCCAUUCCCAGGCAACAGUGAGGACAGCAGAGAAGUCUGGAUGGGGGCCCAGGAGCCCCCAAAGCCCAGAGAAUGGGGCCUGGAUCAAGUUCUGUUGGGUGGGAAGAAGGAGGAGGCCCCCUUUUCUGUGCCACCAGGCCCACUGACAAAGUUGUCAGGAAGCACUGACAAGCAGCUGGUUUGGAAAAACAGCUCCUGUCCCUAAACCAGAGACGAGCCCUUCCUGGGAACUCUUUGGGUACCCCUACCCCACACCCUACAGUGUGACCCCCUUGGUCUGACCCUGGUGGAGCCACCUGCAGCCUCUGUCCCUGGGAUUCAGCCUCUGGGCACCAUGGGGCUAAAAGUCAUGGAAGCAAAACCACAGGAUUAGGGAGCAGCCCCUUUGCUAUCUCAGGCCAGUGUCUGGGGAGCAGCGCUGGUGAGCAAGGGGCCACGCCUGGCCUCACUCUGCUCCCAGGAAGCCAUGGGCUGAGGUCAACUCCUGCCUUUGUCCUCUUCGCUGCUGGGGAGGAGGCCAGCCUUAACUGGAGGCCUCCAUGGGAGGCACAGCAUGGGAGGGCCACAGCUGAUGCAGGCCACCUGCGGGAGGGGCACUGGCCAGCGGGUCUGUAGGUGGCUUGGGACAUACCCUGCCAUCCCUCUCUUUCCUCUGCCCCACCCCAACCUCAAUCCCACUUCACCCCUUCCCACCAAAUCCUCAGUGUUUCCAUGAUUCUGAAAAACACCCAACCUCUGGCCUGGAUCUUUCUGAAGGAGAAUGUGCCAGAAGUGGCUGAUCUCCACGUGGUCACUGUGCAGUUCCCGCCUUCUCCCACAUCCCUCUCACCACCACUGCCCCGCCCUGCCCCGGUGCUCUCUGUGCUCCUCCAACUGAUCCUUCACUCUGGGUCCCCCUCACCCCCAGGCAGACUAGCUGGUUCCUGGUAUCUAGUGGCUUCCAGGUUAGGUAACACGGGGCAGGAGGGGAGCUACUGCUUUUUGGGACAGCACUGCUGUGACACGGCCGGUGGCCUGGCCUGAGAUGGAAGGGAGGCCAGCCAGGUGGGGAACUCAGCAGAGGCCUGGGUUGGGGUCUGGCCCUGUGCUGUUCCAACUUAGCCAGCAAAGGCCAGAAAGGGUUCCAAGGCUAACACCCUGAAGCCUGGAAGCUUGGGGCGGCCUGAGACCCUGUGGCCUCUGUGCCCCACCCUCCUCCUUUCCCCAAGGCAGGAAAAGUCCAAGGCUCACAGGUCAACAGCCAUUAUUGAGACAAGUGGCCUUGUGGUUAAAGGCAGCACCCAACACUGAGCCAGCCCCUCUAGCCAGCUGAUUCUGGCCCUUGCCCUCAAAGUGCGCCUUCUGCCACCAGAGGGGACAAAGCCCAGCCUGGGAUCCGCGCACACACCGCCAGCUCGAAUCUUGAGAGCCUCUGGAUGCUAGGGUUGAGUUCGGGUGCCUGCCCCACCCUGCUGCCUGUGGCACCUGUGCAAACUGACCACAGGUGCCUGUAUUUCCCAGCAGGCCAGCCCACAGACUGCAGAGGCCUCCUGGCCACUGGGACACCUGAGCAGUAAGGUGACUUGCUCCCACACGUGCACCAGGAGAGCAGGGGGUCCUGAUCAGGGCAGGUCAAGGCCACAUACGGCCCGGGGAGGCUGAUGGUCUAGGACUGGCCUGGAAGGAGGGACAGGGAGGCUGGGGGAGAGCUCAGCUGCUUCUCCCCUUCCCCACAGGCCUCUGCAGAUGGCUGGGGGCACCCAGUGUCCCAGCACACAGGGCUGUCUGUGUCCUCCUGCAUGUCUGCAGUGCUCAGCUGGGCUCCUGGCAAAGCCUUCCCCCAUAUUGACCGACACCUAGUCAAGACCAUGUGGAAUGGGAGGAGAGAGAUGAGACAGGUGGUGACACCCAGUUCUACACCCCUUCUGUGGAGAACAGGUGCUGAGCCCCAGGCCUACCGGUGCUAAUGGCAAGGCUGACGGGGGCACCUGGGAUGGGAUUCAACGUGGCGGCUGCCUGGGCAAGACCCCCUCUGCCUCACACAUCCCAACGGCACACUUGGUGUCCAAAGACUCUAGAAGCCUGGCCUGCCUCUCUAAGUAUCUCUGUGUUGGUUACAAAGAACCAAAUAAAGUUGCCAGCCAAUCCAA
Long non-coding RNA from Lutra lutra (Eurasian river otter), 3992 nucleotides. RefSeq lists it as uncharacterized. The transcript is spliced from 2 exons. The record is from RefSeq and is a predicted model, not a curated record. Lineage: Eukaryota; Metazoa; Chordata; Mammalia; Carnivora; Mustelidae.